GACGAACGCUGGCGGCGUGCUUAACACAUGCAAGUCGAACGGAAGUUAAGUUUUCGGAUUUAACUUUAGUGGCGAACGGGUGAGUAACGCGUGAGGAACCUGCCUUUCAGUGGGGGACAACAGUUGGAAACGACUGCUAAUACCGCAUGAUCUUGUUGUCAAAGCUUUAUGUGCUGGAAGAUGGCCUCGCGUCUGAUUAGCUAGUUGGUGGGGUAACGGCCUACCAAGGCGACGAUCAGUAGCCGGACUGAGAGGUUGAACGGCCACAUUGGGACUGAGAUACGGCCCAG
This 290-nucleotide ribosomal RNA is filed under the name uncultured bacterium. RNAcentral's name for it is "partial 16S ribosomal RNA". It matches the Rfam family "Bacterial small subunit ribosomal RNA", at positions 28 to 334 of the family's 1533-position model. The record is from RNAcentral.